Molecule: unclassified non-coding RNA, 347 nt
Filed under: uncultured fungus
Lineage: Eukaryota; Fungi
Description: sequence contains ITS2
Source: RNAcentral
AACGCAUAUUGCACUCCUUUGGAGUAUGCCUGUUUGAGAAUCUAUAGUAUUCUUUUUUCGAUAGUUCUCUAUGAGAGCUGACGAAGAGAUAUGAAGUGUCCCUAUCUCUGGUAGGGUACUUUGAAAUAGAUUGCUAUGCUUUGGUAGUGAAUGCUUGACGUUCCUUACUACUCUGCAGAACAGUAUGUGAAUGGAACCUUGGUUUCUCAUAAUGCCUAUUACGCAGGGAAGGGACUUAGUUUGCUACUGUAGUCGUAGUUCAUAACCAUAAAGCUGGACAAGGCCUUCGGGACGAAUCCAUCUUGAACCAUGGUCUCAAAUCAGGUAGGAAGACCCGCUGAACUUAA